UACGUAGGGUGCGAGCGUUGUCCGGAAUUAUUGGGCGUAAAGAGCUCGUAGGCGGUCUGUCGCGUCGAUCGUGAAAACUUGGGGCUUAACCCUGAGCUUGCGGUCGAUACGGGCAUGACUGGAGUUCGGCAGGGGAGACUGGAAUUCCUGGUGUAGCGGUGAAAUGCGCAGAUAUCAAGCGGAACACCGGUGGCGAAGGCGGCCUUCUGGACAGUGACUGACGCUGAGACGCGAAAGCGUGGGGAGCAAACAGG
RNAcentral lists this ribosomal RNA (254 nucleotides) under uncultured bacterium. Its description in RNAcentral is "partial 16S ribosomal RNA". It matches the Rfam family "Bacterial small subunit ribosomal RNA", at positions 524 to 776 of the family's 1533-position model. The record is from RNAcentral.